CAGUAAAGCAGACAAGAAGAAGCAGAAGGUGGGCAGGAAGGGUGGACAGAGCAAUGAAGGCUUGGACCUGGAGGAGGAGUUCUCAGACGAUGAGAGAGACAAGAAAACAGCCUUGUAAAGAAAGCCUCCUGUUGCCUGGGGGGCUCCAUCAAGCUGCAGCCACCACCUGAAACCAGACUGGUGUCAUCUGGGUCUAAAACUGCCCUCCAAUGAGGAGGCCAGCCUUGCCUAUGCCACACUCAUCCCCCCACUCCUCCACUGACGCCCCCCCACUGACGCCCCCCCCACUGAUGCCCCCCCCACUGACGCCCCCCCACUGACGCCCCCCCACUGACACACUCACCACUGGCCUGGUAUCCACUCCUGUUCAUCUGCCUUCCUGCAUCCUUUCUCAUGUCCAAUGUGCCCCUCUCCAGGCACGUUCCUGGUGUCACCUAACUGUCCCCUACGUCUCUGAGCCCCAGUGCUGCUCUUGGUGGCUUUCCACCCUCUGUGCUAUGUGCUGGUGCCUUGGAGGAGAGACACCCCGUGGUCCAAGCUCUUUCAGCCAGAGUCUCUUCUCUGUCUUGACUCUGCCUUAUGGUCACUCGGUUCUCUGUGAGGACAAGUCCUCCAGGGCAGGCUGUGUUUGGCAGACAGUUCCAGCAAUGACCACCAGAGGGCAGGGUCACCUCCCAGCACCUACCCUUAAUAAAGGCCCCUAAUGGUGUAG
RNAcentral lists this long non-coding RNA (712 nucleotides) under Rattus norvegicus (Norway rat). Its description in RNAcentral is "long non-coding RNA NONRATT026431". The record is from RNAcentral. Lineage: Eukaryota; Metazoa; Chordata; Mammalia; Rodentia; Muridae.